UACGUAGGGUGCAAGCGUUGUCCGGAAUUAUUGGGCGUAAAGAGCUCGUAGGCGGUUUGUCGCGUCUGCUGUGAAAACCCGAGGCUCAACUUCGGGCUUGCAGUCGAUACGGGCAGGCUAGAGUUCGGUAGGGGAGACUGGAAUUCCUGGUGUAGCGGUGAAAUGCGCAGAUAUCAGGAGGAACACCGGUGGUGUAGACGGCUCUCUGGACCGUAACUGACGCUGAGACACGAAAGCGUGGGUAGCAAACAGG
This 253-nucleotide ribosomal RNA is filed under the name uncultured bacterium. RNAcentral describes it as "partial 16S ribosomal RNA". It matches the Rfam family "Bacterial small subunit ribosomal RNA", at positions 524 to 776 of the family's 1533-position model. The record is from RNAcentral.